This 253-nucleotide ribosomal RNA is filed under the name uncultured bacterium. RNAcentral's name for it is "partial 16S ribosomal RNA". It matches the Rfam family "Bacterial small subunit ribosomal RNA", at positions 524 to 776 of the family's 1533-position model. The record is from RNAcentral.
UACGGGGGGGGCAAGCGUUGUUCGGAAUUACUGAGCGUAAAGGGCUCGUAGGUGGCCAACUAAGUCAUACGUGAAAUCCCUCGGCUUAACCGGGGAACUGCGUCUGAUACUGGAUGGCUAGAGGUUGGGAGAGGGAUGCGGAAUUCCAGGUGUAGCGGUGAAAUGCGUAGAUAUCUGGAGGAACACCGGUGGCGAAGGCGGCAUCCUGGACCAAUUCUGACACUGAGGAGCGAAAGCCAGGGGAGCAAACGGG